Molecule: unclassified non-coding RNA, 240 nt
Filed under: soil metagenome
Description: partial contains 5.8S ribosomal RNA, internal transcribed spacer 2, and large subunit ribosomal RNA
Source: RNAcentral
AACGCACGAGACCUGCGGACCUGCGGAAGGAUCAUUACCGAGUUUACAAAACUCCCAAACCCUUUGUGAACCUUACCUAUCGUUGCUUCGGCGGGACCGCCCCGGCGCCCUCGCGGCCCGGAACCAGGCGCCCGCCGGAGGCCCCAAACCCUCAUGUCUUUAGUGGUUUCCUCCUCUGAGUGACAUAAACAAAUAAAGUAAAAACUUUUAACAACGGAUCUCUAGAUCGGAAGAGCACAC